CCUACGGGGGGCAGCAGUGAGGAAUAUUGGUCAAUGGACGCGAGCCUGAACCAGCCAAGUAGCGUGAAGGAUGACUGCCCUACGGGUUGUAACCUUCUUUUAUAAAGGAAUAAAGUGAGGCACGUGUGCCUUUUUGCAUGUACUUUAUGAAUAAGGAUCGGCUAACUCCGUGCCAGCAGCCGCGGUAAUACGGAGGAUCCGAGCGUUAUCCGGAUUUAUUGGGUUUAACGGGAGCGUAGAUGGGUUGUUAAGUCAGUUGUGAAAGGUUGCGGCUCAACCGUAAAAUUGCAAUUGAUACUGGCAGUCUUGAGUACAGUUGAGGUAGGCGGAAUUCGUGGUGUAGCGGUGAAAUGCUUAGAUAUCACGAAGAACCCUGAUUGCGAAGGCAGAUUACUAAACUGUGACUGACAUUGAUGCUCGAAAGUGUGGGUAGCAAACAGGAUUAGAUACCCGUGUAGUC
This 460-nucleotide ribosomal RNA is filed under the name uncultured bacterium. Its description in RNAcentral is "partial 16S ribosomal RNA". It matches the Rfam family "Bacterial small subunit ribosomal RNA", at positions 338 to 795 of the family's 1533-position model. The record is from RNAcentral.